UAUGUUAAUUCGGUUGAUUGAAAGUGUCAUGAACUAACAAUCCCAUCACUCUAAAGCAGCGUUUCUCAAACCAGUCCAGGUUUUGUUAGUAUCUCCAUUGGAAUAAAACAGUUUCUCCAUUGGAAAAAAUACAUAAAUCCUGGACUGUUGGUGGGCCAUGAGGACUGGUUUGAGAACCACUGCUCUAAAGAGUUUGAAAUUGCUACUGAGAUUGUGAUACUGUACUUUGCCAUAUCUUGUUCAAUAUUAUUGAAAACUAUUCACUAAUUGCCAUGUAUAUUUACACUUAUUGACAAAAAUAAAUAUAAUUUUUAUA
Non-coding RNA from Pelobates cultripes (western spadefoot toad), 316 nucleotides. The record is from the annotation of a GenBank genome assembly. NCBI's taxonomy places the organism in Eukaryota, Metazoa, Chordata, Amphibia, Anura, Pelobatidae.